GUGGGGAAUUUUGGACAAUGGGCGCAAGCCUGAUCCAGCAAUGCCGCGUGCAGGAAGAAGGCCUUCGGGUUGUAAACUGCUUUUGUACGGAACGAAACGGUCCGGGUUAAUACCCUGGGCUAAUGACGGUACCGUAAGAAUAAGCACCGGCUAACUACGUGCCAGCAGCCGCGGUAAUACGUAGGGUGCAAGCGUUAAUCGGAAUUACUGGGCGUAAAGCGUGCGCAGGCGGUUUUGUAAGACAGGCGUGAAAUCCCCGGGCUCAACCUGGGAAUUGCGCUUGUGACUGCAAGGCUGGAGUGAGGCAGAGGGGGAUGGAAUUCCGCGUGUAGCAGUGAAAUGCGUAGAUAUGCGGAGGAACACCGAUGGCGAAGGCAAUCCCCUGGGCCUGCACUGACGCUCAUGCACGAAAGCGUGGGGAGCAAACAGGAUUAGAUACCCUUGUAGUCC
This 450-nucleotide ribosomal RNA is filed under the name uncultured bacterium. Its description in RNAcentral is "bacterial SSU rRNA". It matches the Rfam family "Bacterial small subunit ribosomal RNA", at positions 354 to 796 of the family's 1533-position model. The record is from RNAcentral.